Molecule: long non-coding RNA, 864 nt
Organism: Limulus polyphemus (Atlantic horseshoe crab)
Lineage: Eukaryota; Metazoa; Arthropoda; Merostomata; Xiphosura; Limulidae
Exons: 4
Source: RefSeq, a predicted model, not a curated record
UUAAAACCUGAUACAUUAACAUAACAGUGAAAGUUGAUGUGAGUCUGCUUCAGAAAAAGCUCAGUCCACCAUGUAAAACUGAUGAGCUAGAGUUCUGAAGCGUGACCAGGUAGACGUACAAUUAACACAAAGCGUUUAUAUAAACGGUAGGGAAAACACACAGUUAGUAUUCGAACAGACUCCAUCAAAGUAGGUUAUUCAAGAUUAGUGAUAGAUGCGAAACAGUCGUGAAUUAGGUGUUUAUCGCUUUUAAAACAGUUCAAUAUCCAAUUAUUCCCAGAAGUAAGCAAGCGGAUCAGAGGAGUCAUGAAAACACAAAUACUGUUCUUGUUUUUAUUUGUUCUGGCCUUCUUUAUGACUGGAGCUUCUCCAACUUCCAAACAUCGCUUAAAGCGUGGUGUCCCAGGUAUCGAUUUCCUGAAUUCCUUUAUUCCUGGUGGAAUUGGUGGUUUUGGUUUCAACUUACCUGAUUUUGCAGCUUAUGGCAGAAGAGUGGCGGGAGGUAUCCAAGAAACGCUGCAUGGGAUUCAAGGUACCUUGCAGAACGAAGCCAGAAGAUAUCCUGCCAACACUCGUGGCACAACAGGAAAUGUAUUUUAUGUCAAUGGUAUGAGAUGCCACGGGAAAAAGUCUGUUGACAAAGGUGGUCACGGAGGAGGGUUUGCAUUUGCUGGUGGUUAUAGCUGUGUUCCUGCUUAGAAGAAAAUAGAAGGUAAGGAGCACAAAGGCCGCUUGAGGAACGUAAAGUCUUACGGUUUGAAGUCUUGCACAAUCUGAGUAUUUUACAUUAUUAUUUGUGUACACCAGUUUUGAGAAAUUGAAGGAAUAAAUUUUUUCUUGUGAAAUAAAAAAAUGUUUGUGAUA